This is a non-coding RNA of Oncorhynchus mykiss (rainbow trout), 2512 nucleotides long. The record is from RefSeq and is a predicted model, not a curated record. Lineage: Eukaryota; Metazoa; Chordata; Actinopteri; Salmoniformes; Salmonidae.
ACACAAUAUGUCGAGACAACCACCUGUGGUUUUGGGUUCUCUGAACAUUCAGAGGUCCUGCCGCCCGAAAAAACAUCACCCCCGCGCUGUAAGAUCAUUACAGAAUAUCUCUCCUUUGAGCCAAGACUGCGGAGCGAGGGCUAGUGAAACAGAUACUAUCCCCUCUGUACGAACGACCAAAAGCGCCAGACACCUGGCCAACAGCCCAGAACAGCUCAAAGAUAAUCAGUGAAUCCGUCCUAAUGGAGCUUUCUGAAGGGUAUCCAUCCUUUACGCAGUUGCUCAGGGGAAUAAAUGAUCUGGAACAGCCUUCGUUAGAAGGGGGUUCAGAGGAGCAAAACGCAUGCAGCCAGUCCCCAUCACAUUAUUGUAGACCUGACAUACCACCAAGAAGGAUAACGGCCUCCUUAUGGACCCUGAACGACUUCCGAGGAGAAUUAUUUAUUUAUAUAUAUAUAUAUAUUAUUAGUUAUACAUAUUUUAUUAUUUUUUACAUGUUUUGAUGAGUCGAUAUGUUAAAACGACGAGACAUGCCCAGCAGAAUCUGGAAUACCUGGUGAAAGAGCCCCCGGUUUCCGCGAUCGGUCAGAACAGCCCUCGUCAAAAAAGCUGAGACUCCUCCCCGGCGUAUAACGGCACAGAAGACCUCACACACCUAGAGCACGCAAGAGGAUUUCGGCUCACCAGACGUUCAAAAUGAAACAACGAAACCGGAGGAUUUCAUCGUUUUAAAUGACAUUUCAGAGGUAGACGACCUGCUAUUAUGGGAGGCGGCCAACCUUCUUGAUUCAGCCAAUUCUUUGGUGGAAACACCCGAACCUGAAAUAGAACAAGCUAGGUUUUUCACAGCCUUUUCCAGGGCUCUAAUAUCCCGAAAGGUUUUGCUCCACAAACGAAUGGGGGCUUUACUCGAGCAACAAUACCGUCAGCAUCUAUCCUUCAGGCAUAGAACAAUGUCAUGUUUGUUAAACAGCAAAACCGAUUUAAAAAACGCAAAUACAGGCGCUAGAAACAUAUGUAACAUGUAUCCUUCCAGAAUACCACAAGAACACACAUAAUUAAUUAUCCAAAUGGCUGAGCCAACAGACAUACUUGAGACAGUUGAAACCCUGUUAUCCCAAGCUAUAAUUAACCAGAUGAAUGAGGCUUGGGUAACAGACAUAAUACCGAUAGAUGAAAACAUAUUAUCCCCAAUACCCCCGAACUCAUAGAAAUAAUUAAUCCUAUGAAUGAGUCAGGGACGACCAAUGAAAAACUGUUAUCCCAGAUUACUGAAUUCCUCAUAUCGUCAAUUAACCAGAUGAAUGAAAGCAUAAGAUCUUCUACACCGGACACCCCACAAACCCCGCCAUUAACGCCCAUGUCCGAAGAGUCUGAAACGCAAUACAAUGUUUUUGAGGAAUUACAAAAUUGUCUAAUAAAUCAGGAGGGAGAUGGUAUUGAUAGAAGUGUCCGGGUUGUGUACCAAAAUAAAUUCAGCAAUACAGAGAUUCGACAAUUUUUCAAUUUCACAUGGGUGAAUCAGAAUCUUGACUAUGCAGUGUUUUAUGUGAUGAUACUGGAUACUCUGACCGAUCUGUUAGACAGGGCAAGAGAUUAUGGCGAACCUCGUGAUGUCUUACAGUUGGAAAUUUGUGGAGAUAGCUUGCAUAACACGGUAUCUCUUAUUUUACCCAAUGGCGAAGCAGAUCUUGAACAAUUUAUAGCCCUGCUGGAACGACUUGUUCAGUCAAAUUCAUCCGUCAUAGCCAAUAGGACCCUCGAGCUUGUAGUGCAAAUAAUACGUCAACCCCUGGGUGGCGAGGGUCAGAGAAGGAAACUAGAUAGCCUAAUGCAAUCAGAAAUAUCUCAUAAACGUUCACAAUCCUGCCUGGUAAAAAGCUAUGCUUUGCAAUAGGCCUAGCACAUUUACUCAACCCUGGGUGUACAGAUCUAGCGGCGUUACUACACAAGGCUAGAGAGCUCCAAACGGCCGUGGGUCUAGGUAUACAGGAUGCGGUGGCUUUCUUGGACAUAGUCAAGUUUGAAAACCUUCUGAACAUCAAGAUUGUGGUUUUGUACCACAGUAGAGCUAAUGCAGCUCUCUUGAAAUUCCAAAACAACCCUCAUCCUCAGAUUCUGUACUUUUAUGUGCAAAACGCCCACUGUUAUGCUAUUACCAACAUCACCGUGUUUUUAGACGCACCAUAUGUCUGUACAUCGUGCCAUACCAGCUACACCCAAAAGGUGUUAUAACUGUUCAGUAUGUCUGGAUGAAAAUUGUCCGAUGCAGCCCUUAAACCUGACACCCUGUGGGGAUUGUCGCCGCAAAUGUCGUUCGGCCUACUGUUACUAAAAACACAAAAUUGAAACAUGGCACCCCAAGGCCUGUAAAUCUGUAAGCAGUUGUGACAUUAACUUCUUAUGGCUGCAGGGGCAGUAUUGAGUAGCUUGGAUGAAAGGUGCCCAGAGUAAACUGCCUGCUCCUCAGUCCCAGUUGCUAAUAUAUGCAUAUUAUUAUUAGUAUUGGAUA